UUGCAUAAGGCUGGUUUUAAAUUUUCAAGCUAAUCUGCAGCUCUUACUGGUCAUAUGCAAACUAAAAAAGCUGAAUAAAGAAAAGACAUCGAAGAGCAAAAACGAUGUCAAGUGUCUGGGACUCUUACCCUGACAUCAUGCUGACUUUGAUUACUGUAAAUAUGUGAGGUAUCAGACUGUAUUACCAGCCCCUCUCUGAUCUGUUUUGCAGGUUAAUUAAAGCCAUCAACUCCAGCUUCUCAUUCACUGGUUGUUGUGCCUGUUGUUCUGUGGUAGCUGUGAUUUGUGUUUGCUUACUAGUGUACUGGGACUAUGCAGCAACUUCUACUGGUGUUGGCAAUCAGCAAUGAUGAAAUUCACAAACAAACACUGUUUUUUCAUAUGGUUGGGCUUUGAGUUCUUAAUUCGGAGCAAACUGCACCACAAGAUAAAAGUGUCAGCUGGAGAUACAGAGCCUUAAAGAGAGGAGGAUUCGUUUGGUGAUACAUUGAAGACAGGGUUCAUAAGUUUAGCUGAUGUGUUUUGUCCUUAUGAAUGGGAACUAAAGUAAUGCAGCUGGACUUGUAAAUCGUCAAAUGACAAUAAAAAACAAAAUAAAAAGCAAUUCAAUUCCAGUUUAUUUAUAUAGCGCCAAAUCACAACAGUCCCCUCAAGGAAGAUUAAAAAAUCAAAAGAUGAGGUGGAAAUAGUUCGCAGUUAGUCUGCAUUAAAACAAGUAAAAGAAAAAUCUGACAUCUUAGGCCAAUACAUGUUGCUGAAUAGUCAUAUUUUCGCAAAGCUUGUUGUGGACUAAGAUAAAAAAAACAAUGUUACGCUGUAUGCAGUGUCACUGAUGUGCAAAUGUCAAGGGUUUCUAAGUGUUGUAAAUGCAUGUAAACUUGCUGUGUGAUGAAAAAAAUGUUAACAUUAAUGCAUUGUUUAGAAAAAUCAUUGAUAAUAGAUGAUAAUGUUUUCUUUUUUUAAUACUCAGAUAUUUGAUAUUUCUUUUUUUUUUCUAAAGAAUCCUUUGUAAAAGUUAAUUUCUCUAUUUUGUACAGAGCAUCACUGUAAAGUCUGUAAAUAUGUCAGCAUUCUGGAUGCGGCAACAAUCACUGAGGAGGAAAAACUAAAUCUGUGAGAGAAAGAUAUAUUUCUUCAAAGUUGGGUC
Molecule: long non-coding RNA, 1147 nt
Organism: Oreochromis aureus
Lineage: Eukaryota; Metazoa; Chordata; Actinopteri; Cichliformes; Cichlidae
Source: Ensembl